Molecule: non-coding RNA, 107 nt
Organism: Gossypium hirsutum (cotton)
Lineage: Eukaryota; Viridiplantae; Streptophyta; Magnoliopsida; Malvales; Malvaceae
Source: Rfam
AAUCUAUGGUACGAGCAUUUUUGAAUCAACAUUUUGAAGCGUUCCUACACCUCAUAAAAACUUUCUCCUUUCAUUUGUUUGAAGACAACGAUCUUUCUUCUUAGUUG